AGGGAUGUAGCUCAGUGGUAGAGCACUUGCCUGGCAUGUGUGAGGCUGUGGGUUCAAUCCCCAGCAACACAA
Molecule: transfer RNA, 72 nt
Filed under: Heterocephalus glaber (naked mole-rat)
Lineage: Eukaryota; Metazoa; Chordata; Mammalia; Rodentia; Bathyergidae
Rfam family: tRNA
About the family: Transfer RNA (tRNA) molecules are approximately 80 nucleotides in length. Their secondary structure includes four short double-helical elements and three loops (D, anti-codon, and T loops).
Source: Rfam by way of RNAcentral